UUUAAACAGCUUUAUUGAGACACAAUCACAUACCAUGUAAUCCACCCAUUUAAAAGUAUAUAAUUCAAUAAUCUUAGGUGUAUUACAUUAAUUUUAAAACAUUGUGGUAAAAAAUAUAUAACAUCAAAUUUGCCCUUUUAACCAUUUUCAAGUGUGUAAUUCAGUGGCAUUAAUCAGAGUUGUGUUUUGAGCAUGUUUUAGAAACAUCAGCAUUUCAUGGACCCUCUUUGGGCGCAUCAGGACACAGUGUAUGUUAUUAUUUAUUUUCCUUAAUCCAGAGAAACAAAGGCCACCCAUAUUCCUUCUGUGCUGAGGGAUUUCCCUGCAGCCAUCUUUCAGUGGUCACGAUGAUGCCACAGGCAGGCACUAAUCAUAGUCCCAUUCUCCGGAUGGGGAAAGUGACUUGCCUAAGGUCACACGACAGGUCAGUGCCAAAUCCAGGAUUCAAAGCCGACUGCCUGACGCCAAGCCGGGGCAGUGGCCCAUCAGACGACACGGCCUGUGUGUGCGGCACCGACCUAGGUUUUCGCAAAGCCUCUGGGCGGCCCUUCCCUGACUCUUCUCAACUGCCCCGGGUGGGGGUGGGGGUGGGUAUUGUUCUGCUCUUGGGAAACUGAGACAUGGGGGCUAAAUGAAUUUAGAGGAAGUCGGGUUUUUAGUUGCAAAACAAGAGAAUCCACUCUAGGUAAAUUGGAGCAGGGAAGAAAUGAAAAGAUAUUAAGAGGCCCCCAGAUCUCUGGGAGGGAGGCCAGAGAGACUGGCUUGGAGACCACACAGCCACGAACGAUGUCCAGAUUCCAUUGCAGGACCUUUGUGUCACUGCCACCAGGCCCAGACACUGCAACUCUCACUAGUGACACAGGGCAGGUCCUUUCAGCCUCCUCGCUAGAUUGGAUCCCAUGCAUCAGAAUCCGCUUCCAUUGCUUCCACAUGUGGGUGUAUCUGGAUUGGCUAAGCCUAGGUUCCACGUGGGUGUAUUUGACUAGGUCUAACUACCAUUUGGAUGUAUCUGAUUGGCUGAGCCUGGGUCCCAUCUGAGUAUAUCUCACUGGUUGAGCCCAGUUCACAUGCUUGCAUUCUAACUGCAAGGGAGGCUGGGAACGUGAGAUGCAGCUGCUUCUGGUGCCAGGUCCCAAGGAGAUGUGUCAAUUUCAGCCUGCAAGAGCAAUGCACAAAGGGCCCCACAGCUCCACCAGAACUAAUUUCAAAUUCAACCACACCCUCUGGACCAGAGAUGUCCAUCCGCAGUGACGGAAUGCUCCAGUGGGGACUGGAUCAUCUCUAGGUUUGCUGCAUCUCUAGUUUGCAUCCUGAGACUUCCCUUUGUUGCAUUUCUGGGUAAGAUCCACUGUUUCCUGGGCCCCAAGUCUCUCUUUUUCUUGGACUUCUUCCUUGUUUUGCUUAAAUACACCCUUAAGUUAUUUUUUCUGAAAGGAUGCAUGGAAAGUAAUCUUGAAUUCUUGCAUAUCUGAUGAUGUCUUUACUUUGCUCUAGGGUAUGUCUGGGUACAGAAUUCAAAUUGGAAAAUAAUGGCCUCUAGAUUUUUGAAAGACUUCCUCUGCUGUCUCAUAGUGUCCAGCGUGACUGAUGAGAAGUCUGGUGUUGCACUGAUCCUCAGUCCUUUAUAAGUUUUGCCUUUUUUUCUCUCUAGGAUUUAAAAAUUUUUUCCCCUUUAUAUCAUUAAAUAUAUGUAUAACAUCAAAGGUGUGGUCUUUUUUCAUUCAUACUGUUCAGCACUUAAUAAGCAUUUUUAAUCAUAUUUCUUUAAAUCGUUUCCUCCUGCCUUUCCAUUGUUCUCUCUUUCUAGAAUUCCCAGUAGUCAGAUUCAAUCUUUUGGAAUGUCAUUGCUUAUCCUUAAAAAAUAUAUAUUUUCUAUAAUUUUAUCUAUUUGAUCUAUGUUCUGGGAGAUUUUCUAAACUUUCUUUCCCAAACCUUUCAUUAAACUUUUGAUUCUGUCACUUAAGAAUUUCCAAUAACUCCUUCUUUGUCUUUGAACAUUCCUUCCUCAACAACUUCUACUUAUUUAUGGACUCAAGAUCACCUUGACUCUGUAUAAGGAAACCAAUCAGUAUUUUUUCACAUUCUUUUCUGCU
Long non-coding RNA from Manis pentadactyla (Chinese pangolin), 2093 nucleotides. RefSeq lists it as uncharacterized. NCBI's taxonomy places the organism in Eukaryota, Metazoa, Chordata, Mammalia, Pholidota, Manidae. The record is from RefSeq and is a predicted model, not a curated record. The transcript has 3 exons.